CCUACGGGCGGCAGCAGUGGGGAAUAUUGGACAAUGGGGGGAACCCUGAUCCAGCCAUGCCGCGUGUGUGAAGAAGGCCCUCGGGUUGUAAAGCACUUUCAGUGAGGAAGAACGCCUGGUGGUUAAUACCCAUCAGGAAAGACAUCACUCACAGAAGAAGCACCGGCUAACUCCGUGCCAGCAGCCGCGGUAAUACGGAGGGUGCGAGCGUUAAUCGGAAUUACUGGGCGUAAAGCACGCGUAGGUGGCUUGAUAAGCCGGUUGUGAAAGCCCCGGGCUCAACCUGGGAACGGCAUCCGGAACUGUCAAGCUAGAGUGCAGGAGAGGAAGGUAGAAUUCCCGGUGUAGCGGUGAAAUGCGUAGACAUCGGGAGGAAUACCAGUGGCGAAGGCGGCCUUCUGGACUGACACUGACACUGAGGUGCGAAAGCGUGGGUAGCAAACAGGAUUAGAUACCCUUGUAGUC
Molecule: ribosomal RNA, 465 nt
Filed under: Vreelandella stevensii
Lineage: Bacteria; Pseudomonadati; Pseudomonadota; Gammaproteobacteria; Oceanospirillales; Halomonadaceae
Description: partial 16S ribosomal RNA
Rfam family: Bacterial small subunit ribosomal RNA
Source: RNAcentral